GGUUGAGUCUAUUGCAUAGAAGAGAUUUUUGCAACAAUUGUAGUUUGUUUUUAAAUAUCCUGUGAAAAACAAGGAAGAAGAGCUCAAAAAGAUGAAAUGAUUGUGCAAUGCAUAUGUGUGACGUACAUUUGUUGGAAUUUAACAGACAUAAUAGUCUUGGAUUUGUGAUAGUGAUUGGAUUAUGUCUGCGUGAAAAUGUGAUUCUAGAAUUUUUCUGAUCUAAUCUGAAUGUCUUUGCAUAAAGAACUGUUG
Molecule: long non-coding RNA, 252 nt
Filed under: Mytilus galloprovincialis (Mediterranean mussel)
Lineage: Eukaryota; Metazoa; Mollusca; Bivalvia; Mytilida; Mytilidae
Source: RNAcentral